AACGAACGCUGGCGGCAGGCUUAACACAUGCAAGUCGAGCGCCCCGCAAGGGGAGCGGCAGACGGGUGAGUAACGCGUGGGAACGUACCUUUUGGUUCGGAACAACUCCGGGAAACUGGAGCUAAUACCGGAUAAGCCCUAACGGGGAAAGAUUUAUCGCCGAAAGAUCGGCCCGCGUCUGAUUAGCUAGUUGGUGAGGUAACGGCUCACCAAGGCGACGAUCAGUAGCUGGUCUGAGAGGAUGAUCAGCCACACUGGGACUGAGACACGGCCCAGACUCCUACGGGAGGCAGCAGUGGGGAAUAUUGGACAAUGGGCGCAAGCCUGAUCCAGCCAUGCCGCGUGAGUGAUGAAGGCCUUAGGGUUGUAAAGCUCUUUUGUCCGGGAAGAUAACGACUGUACCGGAAGAAUAAGCCCCGGCUAACUUCGUG
RNAcentral lists this ribosomal RNA (431 nucleotides) under uncultured bacterium. Its description in RNAcentral is "partial 16S ribosomal RNA". It matches the Rfam family "Bacterial small subunit ribosomal RNA", at positions 29 to 507 of the family's 1533-position model. The record is from RNAcentral.